This 250-nucleotide unclassified non-coding RNA is filed under the name Hevea brasiliensis (rubber tree). The record is from RNAcentral. Lineage: Eukaryota; Viridiplantae; Streptophyta; Magnoliopsida; Malpighiales; Euphorbiaceae.
CCUCUGUUUCCCCUCUCUUUGUUUCUUUACCCUGGUUUUCCUUAUCUUUAAUUAUGUAUUCUUAAAGCACAGAUGCCGAAGUUGCUGAAAAUUCUUUCAGACAGAAUAGGGGAUUACAAUUGGGAAACUUAAGUUCAGAGAGUAAAUCUCAGGGACCAAGCAGAAGUGAUACUGAUGCUUUUGGAAUAUCAGAACUGUCAGCAACAAUGGUAAUGGAGGAUGAAUUCAAUAAUACACCUGUUGAGAGGGG